Molecule: long non-coding RNA, 2268 nt
Filed under: Nicotiana benthamiana
Lineage: Eukaryota; Viridiplantae; Streptophyta; Magnoliopsida; Solanales; Solanaceae
Description: long non-coding RNA (NBEN_LNC039563)
Source: RNAcentral
GGGUUUAUUAAUAUGGAUCCACCUUUUCCUAGUCCUACGCAUUUAGCCAUACAUGUUUAUAGAAUCAAACAAUCAAAACAUGCUGAAGAUGUUCGAAUGUCCAAGUUAUUUAGAGACCUUACAAUCACAGGUAAUCAAUUCUUAACAUUAUAACCAAACACUACACAAAUGUGAGACUUGGAACAUUCAAACUCCUAGUUUACUAAAGAAAAGCAUAAGUACUAACUCUUAGCCAUAAAUAAGAAGUAACAACUAACAUAAACUAGUAAAACAUAUCAAAUGCUGAAGAUAUACAAAAGAAUGACAGGCCGAAUAGCCCAUCUCCACUUUAAUCCAUGUAAUGCUUCAAAUUUGCCACUUCAAGAGUAAGAAUCGUACCUGGAUACAGUCAAAAUAACCACACAAAAAAAACUUUAGCAAGGUAACAAAGGAGAUCAACAUAGCUUCAGACCACAGUACAUAACAGUAGCACUAUUAAUUUGAUCUAUGCUUCAAACCCAACAAAACAACAAUGUGUUCAAGUUUCGUUUUAAAAACCCAAAAGAUGAAAAUUAGCUGCAACGGAAUAGUAUUGGAGACUUUUUGUGUUUUCUUUCUAAUUUUGGGACAUAUAUCACUAUGUGUAUAAUUUUAGCCAUUUGCUCUUUUUGGUAUUCUGAUCUCUGCCUAAAGUAUGAGUAAAAUAGGCUUUAUAUAGAGAGAAUUAAGGACAACAUCAUCUGAUUUUAUUCAUUCAAAAUUACCCUUUCAUCAAUUCCCCUUUUGUUCAAUUUAAAUGCUGAAUUUUAAACCUAUUUGCUGAACUACCAUAUUCCUACCUUCUUAGAACCUUCCCCAAGCAGUUAGGAAAGAUUUCUCUUAUCCAAUUUUCCUAAAUACCCUUUAGAAGACUGUUAUUUUCCUUAUCAAAAUCCAACCAAUGCGUUAGACAACCAGAAUUGAAACCCUACCCCUUUUUGGGCUUCUGACCUACGAAGCCCAAAUUCUAAUCCAAAACCAACAACCCACUACAAAAGCAGACCAACGGAUUUGUAAACUCAUGAUAUCAGAAUUCCAAAGAAACAAAGCGAAAGGAGAAUGGAGCAAAAAAGCAAACACAAAAUCAAAAGUACUAAAAAAAAUAUGUUAAACUAUAUUAUUAAGCUAAUAUUACUAUAAACUAAUUUAAAUCUAACAUGUAAGCAGGAAUCGAAUUUAACUAGAAAGAAAGAAAGAAAGAAAGAAAGAAAGAAAGAAAGAAAGAAAGAAAGAGAAAGAAUCAAGAAGAAACAAGUAAUCAACAAAGGAAAAAUGACGGACCAACCAAAGAAUCAGAAAGUAUUGGCAAAGGAAGUAGAGAUGAAUGACUGGCCACUCGAAAUGUUUCAUCGAAGCUGAAAACUUGCCCCAUUGAACACUCUUAAUCAAGAAUGCUCUGUCAAGGCGAGCUUCAAGCCCCUGAUGAGCAAAAAUCUUCAACACAUUUCCAACCCCAAGAUUAGGUCAAACCCUAGAUUCAAAAUUCAAAAAAUUCUAGAUUUCGUUUAGGAAAAUCAUCAUGGGAUUUGGGUUUGGGGAGGCCUAGGGACUAUAGGGUAUUAAUUUUGGCGGGUUUGGGUGAAUUAGGGUUUUUGGAAUCCGAUUUUGGAUCUAAAAUUCGAAGAGCUUGAUGAUGAUUUGAAGGAAGCUGGUUGGGGAUUUUGGAUUAGGGGAUAAAGGGGUGUUAAAUUAGUGGGGAUUGGAGUGGUGUGGGAUGACGCUGCCGAUAGAGGGUUAUAGGAAUUCGGGGCGGCAGAUUUGAUUAGGGUUUUGGCAGGUUAGGGAAUGAGAGAUGAAACUGGGGGAGGGGGGACCGGUUCCGACACUUAAACAACCAUAGGAUCCCAAGUUCCCAACGGUUUAAUCAAUGGAGAUCAACGACUGGGAUCAAACGCCUCCGAAAUAGCAUCAUUUUGGUUUGGGGGUUGGGCUAGACCGGAUUAAGGAUUGGAACUGGGCGGAUAAGUGAGGUACAAAUGACUUGGGAUUUGGAUAAAAUAGCCCUAAUACAACAGCCCUGCUUUUUAACUUUUUCUUUCCUUUUUUUCAAUGUUCUUUCCCUAUUUUAAGUAAAACUCCUAAAAAUGAUUAAUUUGGGGAAAAACUAACAUGAUCAACUACUAAAAUAUUUAUGAAAACUAAUUACUUCUAAAUUUAAAGGAAAAUAAUGAAUUUAAAAUAAAAGGCUAAAAAUAUAAAAGUAAGCCAACUUUUUGUGAUUUUUAUCUUUAAUAAAGCAACUAAUUUACU